AAGAGGUUUGAGUAAUAGAGAUAGCUGCUAACUAAUUUCUAAAGCGGUUUAACCCCGUUUACCUCUUU
RNAcentral lists this transfer RNA (68 nucleotides) under Empoascanara gracilis. RNAcentral describes it as "tRNA-Ser". The record is from RNAcentral. Lineage: Eukaryota; Metazoa; Arthropoda; Insecta; Hemiptera; Cicadellidae.